Sturnus vulgaris (Common starling) is the source of this 4497-nucleotide non-coding RNA. The record is from RefSeq and is a predicted model, not a curated record. NCBI's taxonomy places the organism in Eukaryota, Metazoa, Chordata, Aves, Passeriformes, Sturnidae.
CCCUUCCUGCCUUCCCCGCCGGCACCGGAGUCCUUCGGGCUCGUGUUCCCACCUGGGGAACACGCGAGGAUCCGAGGUGCUAUUGCAUUUUCCCUUUGGAUGCACAGCACUUUCCUUUCUCCUUAGCGCUGUGCCUGAAGGAUACCGUUUUCCGACCGGUUUUGCAAUAUUCCAGGAAAUUGUCGGAUUUGUCAUGUUUUUUUUGUCUGUGGCGUGGAAGGUCUGUCUCUUCCUUCUUAUAAUAGCUCAUGUUACAAGUGUUACUAAUGUUCGAGAAGUUCCCUGCGGACAAUACAUGAGUAAUUUUUCAGUAUUCUGGCCAUCAAGUUAUUAAAUAGGUUUUUCAAGGUCUUAUAGUUAAUUCAUCGAUCAGGAGCACAGCUAGAAGUUAAGCACGUCACAGUUCACGUUUGUGUCAAUCAGAACGGGUUUUUGUUGCAUGAUGUGGGAAGUGGCAACUUUGCCCACUAUAUCUGCUUAGAAAAAUUAAGUGCUUUUUCUUUUGUGGUGUUUCCCCCACAAUAAAGAUUAGCAAAAUCAAGACUUUUAGAGACUGUUGUUUAAGCCUUUUAUUUUGAAAUAUGGAAGGUGUAAAGCAUCUCAUAAUUGCAUAUCUUUUUUACAAAAAAACCCCAGAAUAGGGCAGGAGGGCAAUUGAAUGAAGUGCACUACACUUGAACAGUGUUGUUUGCUAAUAAAUUGCUGCCUCCUGUUAAAUGCAAAGCAGUGUUUUGUAGGUCUAGCUGAUAUAUAAAAAGAGGAAUAUUUUUUUGUUUCUUUGAUGCACUUUGGUUCAUCAAUGUAUGUAUUCCCUGUAAAAAAAUGCUGAUGACUAGUUCCUGUGUCAGGUUGUGGAAGCAAGUACUUGGAUGGCUACUUAUGUGAGCAAGGGUCUAGAGAAUGAGUCACUGCUUGCUGAUAGUUGCCUCUCUCUGUCCUGUUUUUUAUCCUCUCUCUACUUAGGAAUGUGUUCAACAGCAACUUUUGAUGUAAUAUAUUAAAGUGAGUGUAAGUAAGUAUUGCCACGUACAAGCUCCUGGUCCUUCAAAGUAGAUACAGUAGCAGAAAUAGAUCAAGUAUGUGAUAGAAAGUAAGGCAGUAGCCUAAAGCCUUUCUUGAAGAACCACCAGAGUGUAUUUAGAAAGUAAUAGCAAUCUUACACUGCUGCUGUAUAAUGGGAUAAAGAAAAGCUAUCAAGGAAAAUGUAUCAGCAGAUAGGGAAAUAUAUUUUUAACUCUUAUGGUGUGUUACAUUUGGAGCUUCCAGACAGAUUUGCAAUUCUGUUCAAUUAAUUUUUGCUGUUGGGAAAACUGCAGUGUGGGGGUAGUGAUUUGCCCAAGGUCACCUAGAAGACUUGGUGGGAAUAAAAUAGGAAAGCAACCGGUAUUUCUGGGCCAGAGUCUGGUAUUUAAUCUGCUAGAACCUGUUGCUGUUUAUUUUUUAUAUUGGUAGUGGUUUUUAUUAUGGUUUUAAGGGAUCAAUGAACCCGUUACUUGCUUUGGUAGCAUAAUUUGGUAUAAUUCUGCACAAAAUUUAGUAAACCUUACUAGUCUGAGUAAUUGGGAAAGUUUAGUAAGGAUAAGUUAAAGAAAAUAAGACAUUUCAUAGACCUGAGCUGAAACCUAGUGCUGUGUUUAAAAAUACAAUAGUUUAAAGUAAGGCCAUGGUGUGAAAGAAAGUAGGUACUAUGACCACAAGAAACAAGUGGGGAAAUUAACUAUUAUAUGUGGAUUGGUGAUUUAGGAUUCUAUUUUCUGUCAGUGAAGCAUAAAAUUUAAUCCCGGGCUUCAGUGUAGGUUAGCAAAUGUAAGUAGAGGAAGAUGUGUGUAGUGUAAUAGCUUUUGAAUCUCAAUAAAAGGCUUAUUAACUUAGUGUCAGACACUGGUGUAAAGCAAAAGAACACAAACUGUCUAAACUUAUGAGCAGAAACCCUGACGUAGUAAAUUUCUUGAUGUGUAUGACUUCAUAUCGUCCUUGUUACUUGCCCAGUAUUUCAAUGUAAUGGAAGCAGAGUUGCUUAUAGGAGAGCACAGCUUCUAAUAAAUUGCAGUCUCUGCUGUUUUCAGUCUAUAAAAUUACAAAAACCGAGAGGGAAUAGUUCUUCAUUUGUGUAAGUAAUUUGCAUGUUAAUUACAGAUCUGGUUGUAUAAACAGAAUGUGUUUUUCUAUAAGGAUUAUCUUUUUCUUUUUUUUUCCCCAUACACAGACCUAAUGUGUUAUUCAGACAUACUGGACUUGUUUGAUAUGGCAUCCAGUCCUGUGAUGUGUUGAACAGCACCAAUUCUCUUUUUCUUCAGUAGAAUUGAAGGUGUUUGCCCUCUGCCAGGAUUGCACCUGAAUUUUAAGUUCUCGGGCCACUAAGCUCUUAGACAAUAGAGGGACUGGAUUGAAAUCAAAAAGAAAUUAAAAAACCCAAUGCAACAAAACCAGCCAAAAACUCCAGCUGAUUUCUAAAGAGCUUGCUCUUCUAGACAUUAAGAAAGUAGCCUCAUGUAACUGAGCCCUUCAGGCUGGACAGAAGGUGGGUCUGCAUCUUGUUGAAAGUGCCAAAUGCUUUGCUGCUGCCAAGAGUGAAACCCUCAGGGGCAUCCCCAGAAGAUCUGUGGGCAGAAUGGAUUUACUGAUGAAAACUAAGGCAUCCAGAGAGGCCUGCAGGGUUAAAGCACAGCUGAACCAAGGUUUAUAGCCUUCUGGAUUUAGGUGCCAGAGUACUGACAAGCUUUUGCAUUUGUUGCCAUGUAAAGAAUUUCAGUUGCUUUUUAAGUGGAACCUCUGUCAUCUUCCACCCUAUCUAGAAGAGAAGGCUAAAAGCAGUAUUUCAGCAAGGAGUGAUGGAUCACUUUCCCAGGUAGUUCGUAAAUUCAGAAACAUUUUUCUUUUUCAUCAACUCCACCCCCUGAAAACCGAAACCCCAAACUGCCUUGAACUAGAAGGCUGUUACACUCUUGGCUCACCAGAUUUACUGAGUGUAAUGGAAUGAACUGGAGAAAUCUAAUUUAGGGCUAGUUGGGCCACAAGGAGGCAGGCUUUUCCUGUAGAACUGGUUAUUCUGUAUGUAGUACUAGUUUUCCCUUCCCUUUUGUUUGUUUUGCUUUUUUUCUUUAAUUUGGAGCAAACUUUAGAUAGGCGACUGUACUGGAGCUAGCUGAGAUCAAAUAAAGGUAAAAGGUGAUGCUUCAUAUAGAGUAUGUGACUGAUUAAAAAUGUCUGAAUCACUGGGUAAGGCAGGGGACAAAGAAGAAAGCCUUCUAAGUUCUUGUUCUGCAUGUCUAAAACUUUAAAAUUAGUCUUUUCAGCAUACACAAAGCUUUCUUUUCCUGAUUUUUUUUUUUUCAAACCCCUCUACUAUUUCACUUACUGUUAAAGGAAGCUUUUGUUGACAUUGUACAUAAUGACACACAUAGCACUCUUCCUCUCUUUCUGCAUAAACUACUGAUUUAGUGUUCCUAAGUGUAGGGGUUUUUUUUGAUGGUUUAAUUGAGGAGGAAAGGAAAUGUGUGUUAACUUCAUUAAUCUGUUUAUGUGCAGCUUGAAUGUUUCUCUUGAGGUAUGUGAAACAAGGGGAUUAAAAGUAGCCACUUCAACUCUGUUGGUUUCCUUCAUCGCAGGAAGGCAUUGCCUACUUUAAUUUCUAAAUACUGUUUACUUUGCUGCAUACUUUUUAAUGUAACUUUAGUCUCUUACGUGUUGUGACACUGAAUGUGAUUUCUGAUACCUUGAUCUUGGACAAGUGAAGAUACCAGAGGUUAAAAAAGUCGAAUUGUCAUAUGUCCUUUUCUGUAUCAUUCACUUCCUAGAAGAUCCAAGGAGAUAGAAAAUAAUGUUCCUUUCUAUAACAAGUAACAGUUUCUGCUAAUAGAUCUUUCUUUUAUAUGAUUCUGUAAUAAAUGGGAAAGAGAUUAGAUGGCCAGGCACUUCAAAAAUAAAUCUGUCCUCUCACUAGAACGUAAAUGUCAUACAUGUAUAUUUUCUUAAUCUAACAUAUGUCAAUUGACAAAAUUACUGUCUUGGCAAUUCAGGCACUUAUUUUUAUGGAUAACUUCAUAAAACUUAACUUUGGUUGCAAUGAAAUGAUGGUCCAUUGCAAAUUCUGUGCAGUCUCUUUAGGUCUGUAGCUGUAUUGGGCUAUUAUCUUUUCCUCUCCUUUUUUAAAUGCCUCAGUGAGGGAGUUUUUUUGCUUUUUAACAGUGAGAAAUUAGUUCUUUGCUCGAAGACUUGUGUUGUCCCCUGCAAUCUGCUAGGCUAGAAAUUGAUGACUGAUACAAAUGCUAUGGCUCUUGGAUUACUGUUUGCUGCUUGUUUCAUAAAUGCAGAAGUAGAGCAGGGCUGUAGAUAGAAGGGGUUGGAGAAACAGGAGUGACUUCUUUGGUUGUUUAAUAUCAAAUGGGGUAGUCAACCACCUUUCCCUAUUAUUUUUCCCUUUCAUGUGGGUAUUGUAGUAAUUUGCUGUGUUUCUGUGUUAUUCCAUUGCUGCUGUGGUUUGCUGCUUUCUGGGAU